Mytilus californianus (California mussel) is the source of this 1013-nucleotide long non-coding RNA. RefSeq lists it as uncharacterized. The transcript has 3 exons. Lineage: Eukaryota; Metazoa; Mollusca; Bivalvia; Mytilida; Mytilidae. The record is from RefSeq and is a predicted model, not a curated record.
CCCCCCCCCCCAAGAUCCUGACUUCAACUUUAACGCUGCCGGGCUAUUUUUUAGACAAAGUGCACGUAUUAGUAGUCAGCCGAAACCACUAAGCGUUUUGCAUCCAUACGUUUUUUUUCGGGAUACUGCAUGACUGCAUAGUAAACUAUCAAUGUACUAGUUAAUGUUCUCGAGGGCUGACCCUAUUACAGAGACAUAUAUACACAUAUGUGUAAAUAUGUCUCUGCCCUAUUACGUGUCGGUAACCUCCUCGACACGGUUCAUUUUUACGGCGGCUCAGUUUUGUCUUAAGAAUAAACAUAAUUGAUAAGUUUCUUUCCCCUGCAUUUCUCGAUCGCACUUGUAAAUAGCACAUUGGUCUCAAGACAUUGGUUACAACACUUGCCGUCAGUACUCAAAAUUGGAAAAAUAUUAAAUAAGAAGGUUGCCAGCAAGAUGAAAAGAACAAUGCAGUUCAAAAGUCAAAAUGUGGAUAAGAUGCGGUACAAGGUCCUACUUUUGCAGAUUUUCAUAUUUUGCAUGAAUGAAUUUGAAGUUUAUAUCAUGGAGGGCAGAGAAAGAAAAGAAACACUUCAGUUUUCCUGCUUCUGAAGGAUAAAUGUAAAACAUCUUGUUUGAAGGAUUGAAAUUCAUCACUGAGAAUAAAAGGAGAAAACACAGAAACAAGACCAAAAUAAAUUCAAAGACAAAAGUCAGAUCAGUUAUUAUUUUCAUCACUCAGCCAAUGAAUUGAAGUUCUAUUAAAUAUCUAAAGAUAUUAAAACCACAAUAAUGACAAUGUUCUGUGCUGAAUGGCAAAAAGUGGACUAUACAUUACAAUCACACAAUGCUGGAUGAUAAGAAACUAUUAAUUUUUUGGGUGGAGGGAUAUCCUGAAAAAAAAAUAGAUUUAUGUAAAAAGCUACUAGUAUGUUAAGCCUAUUAAUAGAGUUUUCAUUGAUUUCAAAUGGGAAAAAAUUGUGUUUCAAAAAAGUAUUCUAGAAUUCAUAAAUAAACAUAUAUUGAUACUUACA